AUACAUAUAGUUUCCACAUGCUGCUUGGCUGGUUAUCUGGUUCCAUUCUUCGUGUCAAAAGAGUCAAGAAACCAAGACAUUACUGUUCAUUGCAAGCAGCUGAAAUUCCUUCAGAGUUUUUGUGGAUUAAUUUCCAAGAUACAGUGUGUUGCAAUUAA
Molecule: long non-coding RNA, 158 nt
Filed under: Calidris pugnax (ruff)
Lineage: Eukaryota; Metazoa; Chordata; Aves; Charadriiformes; Scolopacidae
Description: lncRNA (ENSCPUG00000017287.1)
Source: RNAcentral